This is a long non-coding RNA of Oncorhynchus tshawytscha (Chinook salmon), 633 nucleotides long. NCBI's taxonomy places the organism in Eukaryota, Metazoa, Chordata, Actinopteri, Salmoniformes, Salmonidae. The record is from Ensembl.
AUUAUCAAUUAGCUCAGUUGGGAAGGUGUGGUGCUUAUUUGGAACAAACCCCUGCAAUACCUGUGGCUCUGCAGGAACAGGGUUACUGUCUCCUGAAAUACUGAGAAAUGAAAGAGACCUGACUCACAACGACAACCAACGAAAUGAGCAGAACCAAGAUACUGAUGCACUGAAUUAUGCUGCCCUUAAUUUCACCUCCAAGAAAAAGAAGAGGGAGAGAAGGAGCUGGACCCCCAUGUAGUGUAUGCUGCUACAAGAUGACAAAGUGGAGGGUGGAGAGGAGGACAAGUGGUUUGCCAUGUCUUUGAAUACAUGUUUAAAUCUUCCUAUAUUGUAUUUGUAGUUAAAUCAAAUGUAUUGAAAUGUUAAUAAACUAAGGGCCACUGUAACCCUGUUCCUCUCUUAGGCCACACAGCUCAGUGGUGCAGGGGUGGUUAGAGGGGGAGUUGGACUCAAACCACAACUGAUUAAUGGCCACAGAGUAGUAGUUGCCUCUUGGUCUCUCUUAGCUUUGUUCUCUUGUGUUGUGUUAGUGAAUUGGUUAUUAUUUAAUAAGCUGGCCAUAAAGGACAAAGUACCUAGCAUAGGACAAUUGUAUUACAUUGAUUACUUAAUAAAAAGUUUUAUCAAAAC